RNAcentral lists this ribosomal RNA (421 nucleotides) under uncultured bacterium. RNAcentral describes it as "bacterial SSU rRNA". It matches the Rfam family "Bacterial small subunit ribosomal RNA", at positions 355 to 774 of the family's 1533-position model. The record is from RNAcentral.
UAAGGAAUAUUGGUCAAUGGACGCAAGUCUGAACCAGCCAUGCCGCGUGAAGGAUGAAGGUCCUCUGGAUUGUAAACUUCUUUUAUCUGGGACGAAAACGGGAUUUUUAUCUCAAUUGACGGUACCAGAGGAAUAAGCACCGGCUAACUCCGUGCCAGCAACCGCGGUAAUACGGAGGGUGCGAGCGUUAUCCGGAUUUACUGGGUUUAAAGGGUGCGUAGGUGGGCUUAUAAGUCAGUGGUGAAAUCUCCGAGCUUAACUUGGAAACUGCCGUUGAUACUAUAGGUCUUGAAUUAUCUGGAGGUAAGCGGAAUAUGUCAUGUAGCGGUGAAAUGCUUAGAUAUGACAUAGAACACCAAUUGCGAAGGCAGCUUACUACAUAUAAAUUGACGCUGAGGCACGAAAGCGUGGGGAUCAAACA